This 456-nucleotide unclassified non-coding RNA is filed under the name Hevea brasiliensis (rubber tree). The record is from RNAcentral. Lineage: Eukaryota; Viridiplantae; Streptophyta; Magnoliopsida; Malpighiales; Euphorbiaceae.
GCAUUUUGCAGCCAGGUUGCACCACCUUGGUGCAUUUUUUUCACUUGUGAAUAAAAAUGUACAUGAUCGCAAAAACUAAUAAAGAAUCCAGUAAGCUAAUUUGUAUGCUUUGCUUUCAUAAACACUUCUAAAGCAUGGGCUCCCAACAUAGAUAUGAAUCUUACACUCGAAAAUUUUACCCAAGUGCCAGGACAGAAUUUCUUAGCACAAUUUAUAGUGCUAGUAUGAGCUAACACACAGUUUGGCAGGAUCUAUGAUAGCAAGAUAUUCGCUCAAUCUCUUAAAACAUAUGGUAGCAAUAAAAAUGCACUUGUAGGCUCUUAUCUUUCCUUCAUAAUAUUUGCAAUCCAAUUUCCUUCCCGGAAAUUGCACAAGGAAAAUGACCUCCAUCAAUCCUCUCUCUCAGCAUACUAAAAAUCUAUUGCAUAGAAAUCUCAGAGGUAAGAAAAAGAGAAU